AUUUUGCUCUUCCAUGAUGGGUGGGCAGAGUGCCUUUCACAUUCCUUCGUAGAACUUAAUGCUCAUUGUCACUCCCUCUCCCCCUUUUCUCUCCUUCCCCCCUCCAUUCUUGUGGAUAAAUUGUCUCAUAUUUCUAUUGUGUAAGACUCAUCUUCACUUUUUAAAGGAAAUCAACUUCCUAUUAUUUUUGUAGUACACCCAUUUUCUUUUCAACAACAAUUCCUAAGAUGAUUUUGCUAUUUAUGUUACUUGUUUUGUUUAGAUAUUUAUGCUGGUCAUGAAAUUUCAUCCUGGCUACUUAUUUUGCUAUUUCAUACUCUCGAGUAGUUUUUUUUAGAUAAAUCAUGCAACUAUGCC
This 357-nucleotide long non-coding RNA is filed under the name Eucalyptus grandis. RNAcentral's name for it is "long non-coding RNA (EGRA_LNC007410)". Lineage: Eukaryota; Viridiplantae; Streptophyta; Magnoliopsida; Myrtales; Myrtaceae. The record is from RNAcentral.